AAUCUUUUAGAGAAAUCUUUUAGAUUUUAGUGGCGAACGGGUGAGUAACACGUAAGCAACCUGCCUUUAAGACGAGAAUAACAAUUGGAAACAGUUGCUAAGGCUGGAUAGGAAAUAAAAAGGCAUCUUUUUAUUUUUAAAAGACCUUCUUCGGAGGGUAUGCUUAAAGAGGGGCUUGCGUCACAUUAGUUAGUUGGUAGGGUAAUGGCCUACCAAGACGAUGAUGUGUAGCUGGACUGAGAGGUUGAACAGCCACAUUGGGACUGAGACACGGCCCAAACUCCUACGGGAGGCAGCAGUAGGGAAUUUUCGGCAAUGGAGGAAACUCUGACCGAGCAACGCCGCGUGAACGACGAAGUACUUCGGUAUGUAAAGUUCUUUUAUUGAAGAAGAAACAAUAGUGGAAAAACUAUCUUGACGUUAUUCAAUGAAUAAGCCCCGGCUAACUAUGUGCCAGCAGCCGCGGUAAUACAUAGGGGGCGAGCGUUAUCCGGAAUUAUUGGGCGUAAAGGGUGCGUAGGCGGUUUAAUAAGUCUCUAGUUUAAUUUCAACGCUUAACGUUGUCCUGCUAGAGAAACUGUUUGACUAGAGUGAGAUAGAGGUAAGCGGAAUUCCAUGUGUAGCGGUAAAAUGUGUAAAUAUAUGGAGGAACACCAGAGGCGUAGGCGGCUUACUGGGUCUUUACUGACGCUGAUGCACGAAAGCGUGGGGAGCAAACAGGAUUAGAUACCCUGGUAGUCCACGCCGUAAACUAUGAGUACUAAGUGUCGGGGUUAAACUCGGUACUGAAGUUAACACAUUAAGUACUCCGCCUGAGUAGUACGUACGCAAGUAUGAAACUUAAAGGAAUUGACGGGAUCCCGCACAAGCGGUGGAUCAUGUUGUUUAAUUCGAAGAUACACGAAAAACCUUACCAGGUCUUGACAUACUCUGCAAAACUAUAGAAAUAUAGUGGAGGUUAUCAGGGAUACAGGUGGUGCAUGGUUGUCGUCAGCUCGUGUCGUGAGAUGUUAGGUUAAGUUCUAAAACGAGCGCAACCCCUGUCGUUAAUUGCCAGCACGUUAUGGUGGGGACUUUAGCGAGACUGCCAAUGAAAAAUUGGAGGAAGGUGGGGAUUACGUCAAAUCAUCAUGCCCCUUAUGAUCUGGGCUACAAACGUGAUACAAUGGCUAUUACAAAGAGUAGCUUAAACGCGAGUUUUUGGCAAAUCUCAAAAAAAUAGUCUUAGUUCGGAUUGAAGUCUGCAACUCGACUUCAUGAAGUUGGAAUCGCUAGUAAUCGCGAAUCAGCAUGUCGCGGUGAAUACGUUCUCGGGGUUUGUACACACCGCCCGUCAAACC
RNAcentral lists this ribosomal RNA (1340 nucleotides) under Texas Phoenix palm phytoplasma. RNAcentral's name for it is "bacterial SSU rRNA". It matches the Rfam family "Bacterial small subunit ribosomal RNA", at positions 69 to 1403 of the family's 1533-position model. The record is from RNAcentral. Lineage: Bacteria; Bacillati; Mycoplasmatota; Mollicutes; Acholeplasmatales; Acholeplasmataceae.